RNAcentral lists this ribosomal RNA (266 nucleotides) under uncultured bacterium. RNAcentral's name for it is "partial 16S ribosomal RNA". It matches the Rfam family "Bacterial small subunit ribosomal RNA", at positions 793 to 1055 of the family's 1533-position model. The record is from RNAcentral.
GUCCACGCCGUAAACGAUGAGUACUGGGUGUCGCGGGUAGUUGACCCCUGCGGUGCCGUAGCUAACGCGUUAAGUACUCCGCCUGGGGAUUACGGUCGCAAGAUUAAAACUCAAAGGAAUUGACGGGGGCCCGCACAAGCGGUGGAGCAUGUGGUUUAAUUCGACGCAACGCGAAGAACCUUACCCGGGCUAGACAACGGUGGACCGCCCUAGAGAUAGGGCUUUCCCUUCGGGGACUGCCGGUUCAGGUGCUGCAUGGCUGUCGU